ACAAGCACACACAGGUAUAGUAUAGUGCUGUCCAAAGGUUUCAGGCACAAAGUAUAGAAGAGACAACUUUUUAUGAAGCUUUUUGGGUUUGUCUUUGAGCAGUCUGUGUCUGCAUUCAGGUUAAAAACAAAAGAUCUGCUAGGAUACCAAAAUAGGGAACUCAUUUGUUGGUGUGCAUCUUGAAAUCAUCAAAACAGGAAGUCUCGUGUCAGAUAUCUCUGGCCCAGAAAUAUUGACCAUUGUCUCCAGAGGGAAAAAUUAGCUGAUGGAUUCCCGGACUGCUACAUAUUAGGUGAUGAUGAUUAAUUAGUCCCUGUUGUUGUUAGCAGCAAUAUUUUAUCUCAAGGUUUCAUCUGAAUAUAAGCCAUUCUCUGACUAAUACCAAAGAGGUUUUAGCCAGAGAAAAAUCACAAGGACAAUGAUUAAAAAAAUAAAUUUUUCGGCACUUUAAAUGAGGUUUGUGGCGCAUAUCCCCAGAGGUAAGAGAUGGGGUACACCCUCAACAGUCUACACAUCUGUAAAUUAAACUUCAAAUAUAUUUUUGAUCAUUAAAUUGUCAGAAAUGACAGGAAAAUGCACAGAAUUGCAACUUUAUCUUGACGAAUCACGCUUAUCUACGUGGUCUAACUGCAAAAGCCCAUUUUAAGCCAGGAAGGAAACUGGACAGUUUCUGUGAGCUUCUUUCAACUCCAAAUUAAAGCUGUCCAAACAAAUGUUUUUAUGACUGCACAUUUAUAAUCCUUUUUUAUGUUAGCCAUAUGAAUAUAUUGCAUUUUAUGUUGUAUUUGCUGCAUUUGGCUGACCUUCAACCAAGGAUCAAAACUUCAUUCACUGCUUUAUAAAAAACACAAUGUAAAAUAUAGACAUCACUCAGGCUCCAUGAGAUUAACUCCUAUUCUGACUCCAGUCAGCUGAGAUAUGAGUAAAAUUAUUUUUUUUUAUUAUUUAUUGCAUGAACUGUAAAGAACAAAUACAGAUCCAGCUUCUAGCAUUAGCAUUUUUGCAUAAACGGCUAACCACGCGUCUUCUGUUCAUUUCAGCUUAAUUAUAAUGAAAAUUUCAGCUACACUUUUAAAAUAAAACAGCUACAACCAGUCAGGGUGCUGCAUAUUUUUGUGGCUCCACCUUUAAUGAGAUUAUCUGAAGCCAGACAGCGGUUGACAGCUGUUGCAGUGCACAGACAGCGGCCCAUUAAAGACAUCAUCAUGAUGUCAAUGAACCUACGACCUGCUCUCUUCCUUAAAAUCGGCUUUAUUUGCAGAAUUUUGAAAGAAAGGGAGAGCUGACAUGUCGAGUCCUGUUCACAGCAGCUGGAACAGGGCCAUGUUAGCGUGGCAUUUCCUUACAUCACAAAGGUGCAAAAUGGAAAAUUUUACGUGAACUGAGUUUUUAAAAAUGUGAUCGACACCCUCUCCAACUUUGGAGUAAACGUCCGCAGCUCGUCUGUGAGGGACCGUCGUGAAAAGAUGACCUAACAUGGACAUUUUUUGUCCGGUGUAAUGACACAAACUGGAACCCACCUGCUGGAUCAGAGUAUGUUGGAGAGAAAAAUCCAGCGGCUAGCCAGCGCUCAACGCUAGCCACAGAAAAUGACAACAAUCCUGCAGCAGCUACGAGGCAGACAGACGCUACCAAUAGAUGGCAGAAUAAUCGAUACAUAUACAUAGGAACUUUAACGUAUGCAAUCCGACAGAAGAGGUAGGAAAAAUGGAUUUAAAAGUGAAAAGUAAAGAUAAAGAAUAAAUGUGUCAUAUUGCGAUUACUAAAGCAACUCUAUUUUAUUUAACGGCAUAAUCGUUUUCUUCUUCUUUCGGCUCCUCCCUUCAGGGGUCGCCACAGCUGAUCAUCUGCAUCACUCUAGUAUCCUCUUAUGUCACACCAAACCUCUGUAUAUUCUCCUUCUGUGGUCGUCCUCUUUUGUUUGGCAGUUUCAUCAUUAACAUCCUCUGCACAUGUCAGCCUUGUCUUUCUAACCGUGUCUCCAAACCACCCAACCUGAGCUGUCCCGCUGAGAUACUCCUUUCUAAUCUUAACAUCUCAGGUCUCGCUGUCAUCUUGUAAUCCUUCGCUUGCUGCUAUCUAUCAGUCACAAGUCAACCCUGACACUCGUCUCCACCCACUACCACCUUGUCUACACUCUCGUCUUCACCCCUGUCUCCUUCUUAUUCGCACACAUGUAUUCCGUUUUGCUUCGACUGACUUUUAUUCCUCUUCUCUUCGGAGGAUACCUCCACCUCUCCAGGCUCUCUUCCAUCUGCUGUGAGCGUUCAUCAACUCCUCAAAGUCCUCCUUCCACCUUCCUAACACACACUUUUCUCUCUUUCUAUCUUUAAUCACGCUAACCUGCUGCUAAUCCUUUCCAGCUCGAUCGCUCUGUCUAACCAAUCGAUGCAAAAUCUUUUGUCUCCUUCCUUAAGUCAUAAAAGUAACUUCAACAAAGUUAACUCGGCCUGUUCACCAUUUACAGUUAGGGUAUUUUAUGACUCAUAUCAUCAUCAUCAUCUCUAACUCUGUCUCUAUAGCCAUUUUAUUAGCAUCAGUAAAUGGUCUCAUUUUCUUUUCUUGCCCAUAAAGUAAGCAGACAAUGGAAAAAUGAAGGACAGUAACAGGAGUGGUGGCUCAUGGUAAACUGACACCCCAGUGGUGUACUGAUGUCUGUGUGACUGAAAAAUAGCUGAGUCAUUAGGUUGGCACUGUCGCUGCACAUAUAACACUGACUACUGACCAGCUACACAAGAUCUAACACUCCAAGACUGACUGGUGAAGAAAACACUGAAGUGGAGCCAUGCUGUGACUGAUAUGCUCUGCGCUGCACAAUGUGGCUGCCUGGGUCGUGUCUUGCUGUUGCUCCUCAGCAAAGGACGGGACAUCAUCAGGAGAGACAUACAAGUGUAAAGGAAAGCAAGUGUGGACGGUGUCUGAUGAUGCAGCACCAUCCAGUCAAAA
This is a long non-coding RNA of Oreochromis niloticus (Nile tilapia), 2946 nucleotides long. RefSeq lists it as uncharacterized. The transcript has 4 exons. The record is from RefSeq and is a predicted model, not a curated record. NCBI's taxonomy places the organism in Eukaryota, Metazoa, Chordata, Actinopteri, Cichliformes, Cichlidae.